AGAGAAAAUCAAACACUGAUUUUUAAACAAUGCCUACAUCCAGUGUCCUUCCAACCUUGGAAGCAAAUGCACUAUAAUUGUUGCGUUUUUACAAAAAGGAAUUUAUAAAAGCACCACGCAAAAAUAUAAAUCUCUUCUCUAACCCAAAACCAAAUACAACUGCACACAAAAACCAGAAUUGCAGCAAGAAUCCCCUCUCCUGCAAUCUGCACCCACGUUGAACAAUCCUCAACGUGUCACCAAC
Molecule: long non-coding RNA, 244 nt
Filed under: Vigna radiata
Lineage: Eukaryota; Viridiplantae; Streptophyta; Magnoliopsida; Fabales; Fabaceae
Description: long non-coding RNA (VRAD_LNC014176)
Source: RNAcentral